Molecule: long non-coding RNA, 2097 nt
Organism: Megalobrama amblycephala (Wuchang bream)
Lineage: Eukaryota; Metazoa; Chordata; Actinopteri; Cypriniformes; Xenocyprididae
Exons: 3
Source: RefSeq, a predicted model, not a curated record
UCUGCUAUAAAGAAGGCAUUGUAGGUACUAUGUCUUGUAUGUUUGCCUUUACUCACCCAAACUUGCCAACAAGGCUACUUUACAUAAAUGCAAGCGCAUUAGCAGUUAGUUGUGAAUCACAGGUGUUUGAUUUGGGAGACGAGGCAGAUAAGAUAUCUGUACUUUAAUUCAAGCAUGGUUUUCAGGUACUCUUUACACCUCAGGGGCCCGUUCUUCGUACGUCGUUUAUUACAUCUGAGAUCAAAUGACACAUCCAAGAUGAUAUCAUCGUGCUAAUCAUGAUCCGGCUAAUUGGGUUCUUCGAACACACCUGUUGUGUAUGAUUAGUAUCGCUGGAUUGAGUUAUCUGAGAUAAUUGCGCGUUCAUGUGUUGGCUUAAAAGGGGUAUGUAUCGAUAGUAGAAACAUUGAUCAGCAAUGCUGCUAUUGGCUGUUCAGCAUGGCCAAAGAACGUGCCCAAUUUUUCUCCCAAGCAGAACAAGAGCUUUUAAUGGAAGGUUAUGCCGAAUUUGAGUCGUUAAUUAAAACGACAGGGAACACCUCAAAGUCUGCAAAAGCCAGGAGAGAGGGCUGGCAAAAAGUAGCAGACAAAUUAAAUGCGUAAGUGCUGUCCAUAGUAGAUGUUUCUAUCAUUUUCUACAGUAUGUGUUUUUGCAUUUUAAUAAUUUAAUAUUUACUUUCUUUAAUGUCAGAGCCACCACUGGACCCACUAGAACAUGGGAACAAGUAAAAGUGAAAUACAAGAAUAUUCUACAAAAUGGUAGCCUUUCAUUCAUACUGUCUUUAUUUUAAAAAGCCACUUUUUUUUCCUUCUUUUUAAAAGCCACUGUUAAAUGAUGUGUUUGUCUAUUUAUAACAGCCACCAAGAAAAAGGCUGAAAAAAAAAAAAACAGGUGGUGGUCCUGCACCACCACAAUAUACCCCAGCAGAGGAGCUGGCCCUUGGAUUGAAUGAAAACCGAACCAUUGUGGAGGGCAUCCCUGGGGGCAGCUCUUCCUCAGACCCAAAGACAGGGACCAGUACCAGCAACACCUUCAUUACUGUUUUACAUAAUACACCAACACUUUUACCUGUUCCCAUGCAAGUGGUGGCUGAAGCAUAUGCAGACAGUGAAGAAACCCUCUCAGAAGACUGUCCUUUGGAGGAAGAACCUGUAAGUGCAUAAAUACCUUUACACUAAUUUGUAUAUAGCCUACUUGUGUACCUAUUCUUUCUGUCUGCAAUUUGAGUUGCAGGAGUCCACACCUAGAGAAAGGCCUACAGAAAGGCUUGCAGAAGAGUCUGCACAAAGAACUAAUACAGAGGUGGACAGUGUUGUACUUUUACUUUUUACUUUUGUUGCAUGAGGCAUGUUUUGACCUUUUUUUUCUUUUUUUUUCUUUUACAAAAUGACAGGGUGACAUCCGUUCCCUCUAUAAACAGCAUCUUCAACAAAAAAUUUAGUAUUUUGAGCUGAAAAAACGCAAAUUAAGAGGAGAAAUUGACCAAUACUACUAAGUCACCAAUACUACUAUCUCUAAUUGCAGGCAAAAGAUGACUUGCUGGCUUUUCUUUAUAAAGAAUUGUUUAAAUAAAACUCCGGGAACUAAGCAUAUUUGUCGUCUCUUAUUACACAUUCAAAAAUGGUGUUCCACAAUUCUGUCCCGUGCAGCUCUGCCACUAGGUUGGUCCAAGUGCACUGGCUGGAGGUCAUCAUCAGGCUGCACCCCCACCACAGGGAUCCUCUCCUUUCUGAUAGUGGCGAUGUUAUGCAAUAUGGCACAUGCAACAAUAAUGUCACAGGCCCUGUCAGGUGCAACCCUCAGACUUUUCAGACACUGAAAUCUUUCCUUUAGUUGCCCAAAGGUCAUUUCAAUGCGUGCCCUUGUCCUGGCUAGAGCUGCAUUGUAACGGGUUUGUGGUCCAGGGUUUGGGUCAGGGAAGGGCGUCAUAAAAUACUGCCUGCAGGCAUAGCCCCUGUAUAAUGGAAAAAUGCAGUUUUGUUAGGCUCAGCAUAAGUGUGUGUGUAAUACUGUGAGCUUGACAUUUAUGUUCCCUUACCACGUUCAAAUAAUGUGCAUAAAUGUGACUCUCUGAAAAUUCUUGAGUCAUGCACUGA